Molecule: ribosomal RNA, 491 nt
Filed under: uncultured bacterium
Lineage: Bacteria
Description: partial 16S ribosomal RNA
Rfam family: Bacterial small subunit ribosomal RNA
Source: RNAcentral
AGUGAACGCUGGCGGUAGGCCUAACACAUGCAAGUCGAACGGCAGCACAGUAAGAGCUUGCUCUUACGGGUGGCGAGUGGCGGACGGGUGAGGAAUACAUCGGAAACUACUUUUUCGUGGGGGAUAACGUAGGGAAACUUACGCUAAUACCGCAUACGACCUACGGGUGAAAGCAGGGGAUCUUCGGACCUUGCGCGAUUGAAUGAGCCGAUGUCGGAUUAGCUAGUUGGCGGGGUAAAGGCCCACCAAGGCGACGAUCCGUAGCUGGUCUGAAAGGAUGAUCAGCCACACUGGAACUGAGACACGGUCCAGACUCCAACGGGAGGCAGCAGUGGGAAUAUUGGACAAUGGGCGCAAGCCUGAUCCAGCCAUACCGCGUGGGUGAAGAAGGCCUUCGGGUUGUAAAGCCCUUUUGUUGGGAAAGAAAAGCAGCAGGUUAAUACCCCGCUGUUCUGACGGUACCCAAAGAAUAAGCACCGGCUAACUUCGUG